CGAACGUACACAAUCUUCCGAUAAGUGGGGAAUAGCCCAGAGAAAUUUGGAUUAAUACCCCGUAACAUAUAGAGUAGGCAUCUUCUUUAUAUUAUAGCUUCGGCGCUUAUUGAUGGGUGUGCGUCUGAUUAGGUAGUUGGCGGGGUAACGGCCCACCAAGCCUACGAUCAGUAGCUGAUGUGAGAGCAUGAUCAGCCACACGGGCACUGAGACACGGGCCCG
Molecule: ribosomal RNA, 222 nt
Filed under: uncultured bacterium
Lineage: Bacteria
Description: partial 16S ribosomal RNA
Rfam family: Bacterial small subunit ribosomal RNA
Source: RNAcentral